This 399-nucleotide ribosomal RNA is filed under the name Palaemon adspersus. Its description in RNAcentral is "partial 16S ribosomal RNA". It matches the Rfam family "Bacterial large subunit ribosomal RNA", at positions 1932 to 2540 of the family's 2925-position model. Lineage: Eukaryota; Metazoa; Arthropoda; Malacostraca; Decapoda; Palaemonidae. The record is from RNAcentral.
UGCGGUAAUUUGACCGUGCAAAGGUAGCGUAAUCAGUAGUCUUUUAAUUGAAGGCUUGUAUGAACGGUUGGAUGAAAGAAUAGCUGUCUCUAAAAUAAUUUAGAACUUGACUUUUAAGUGAAAAGGCUUAGAUUUAAUAAGGGGACGAUAAGACCCUAUAAAACUUUAUAAAUGAAUUAUGUAAUCUCUAAAUUAUAUUAAAAUGUUGAUAAGUAUUUUAUUUAUUUCGUUGGGGCGACGUUGAUAUAAUUUGUAACUGUCUAAAUGAAUAAUAUAAUCGUCAUUAUACUUUGAUCCUUCUUUGUGGAUUAUAAGACUAAGUUACUUUAGGGAUAACAGCGUAAUUUUCUCAGAGAGUUCUUAUCGAAGAGAUUAGUUGCGACCUCGAUGUUGAAUUAA